AUCUCUGUAGAGUCUGCAUAUCAAUAAGCGGAGGAAAAGAAACUAACUAGGAUUCCCUCAGUAACGGCGAGUGAAGCGGGAAGAGCUCAAAUUUGAAAUCUUCAAGGUUUUACCUUGACGAAUUGUAGUUUAAAGAAGUGUUUUCUGUUGGAUGUUUUGGUAAAAGUUCUUUGGAAUAGGACAUCAUAGAGGGUGAGAAUCCCGUAUUUGACCAUUACUUUCCAACUUUGUGAUACACUUUCAAAGAGUCGGAUUGUUUGGGAAUGCAGUCCAAAAUGGGUGGUAAAUUUCAUCUAAAGCUAAAUAUUGGCGAGAGACCGAUAGCGAACAAGUACCGUGAGGGAAAGAUGAAAAGAACUUUGAAAAGAGAGUUAAACAGUACGUGAAAUUGUCAAAAGGGAAGCGUUUGACACCAGUGUUGUUUUCUCGAAAAUCAAUUAAAAAGUGUUGGAUUUUGUAUUGUUAUGACCUUAUCAAGCUUACUGUACUUUUUUCCUGCUCUUUUUAAUGCACUUUUCGUUUAACAAGUCAACAUCAAUUUCUUUUGUUGUAAAAGAGUCAUUGGAAGGUGGCUUUCACUUCGGUGAAAGUGUUUAUAGCCUUUGACUCCUGCAAUCGGAGAGAUUGAGGUCUGCAGCGUAGAUCCUUCGGGGUUAGAUACAUUUGUGCUAAGUUAUAGUUUUUCAUAGAUAACAUGUUGACUAUGAUUAAUCAUGUAGCUUACUCGCUUAUGCUAUUUUACCUACGCUUAGGAUGUUGAUCUCUCACAGUCGAGC
This 776-nucleotide ribosomal RNA is filed under the name uncultured Neocallimastigales. RNAcentral's name for it is "partial large subunit ribosomal RNA". It matches the Rfam family "Eukaryotic large subunit ribosomal RNA", at positions 24 to 645 of the family's 3401-position model. The record is from RNAcentral. Lineage: Eukaryota; Fungi; Neocallimastigomycota; Neocallimastigomycetes; Neocallimastigales.